Molecule: ribosomal RNA, 323 nt
Filed under: uncultured soil bacterium
Lineage: Bacteria
Description: bacterial SSU rRNA
Rfam family: Bacterial small subunit ribosomal RNA
Source: RNAcentral
AGAUUGAACGCUGGCGGCAUGCCUAACACAUGCAAGUCGAACGGGAGUAGCAAUACUCUAGUGGCGGACGGGUGAGGAAUACGUAGGAAUUUGCCCUUAAGUGGGGGAUAACCCGGGGAAACCCGGAUUAAUACCGCAUGACCUCGAAAGAGCAAAGUGGGGGAUCGCAAGACCUCACGCUUUUGGAGAAGCCUACGUCGGAUUAGCUAGUUGGUGAGGUAAUGGCUCACCAAGGCGACGAUCCGUAACUGGUCUGAGAGGAUGAUCAGUCACACCGGAACUGAGACACGGUCCGGACUCCUACGGGAGCAGCAGUGGGGAAU